Molecule: long non-coding RNA, 293 nt
Filed under: Gossypium raimondii (Peruvian cotton)
Lineage: Eukaryota; Viridiplantae; Streptophyta; Magnoliopsida; Malvales; Malvaceae
Description: long non-coding RNA (GRAI_LNC009212)
Source: RNAcentral
UUUCAGAAAUAAACCAUUGAGUAGAAAUGCGCGGAUCCUCCCCGGGUCAAAUCGGAUCAUCGGGUCACAAGGCUAUACGACGUCGUUUUGAGGCCACUGAAACCGGCCACAAACGACGUCGUUCUACAGGCGUAUUAAAAGACAGAAAAAAACUGUUAAACCAUUCACCAUUUCAGAAUAAAAAGGAAAAGAAAAAAAGAUAAUAAAAAACCCCUAAGGGUUUCGUUCCCUUCCCAUGCGCCGCCCUUUUGCCUCAACUCUGAUUACCAGAGGAAGACGCGAGCUUCAACGGC